This 434-nucleotide ribosomal RNA is filed under the name uncultured bacterium. Its description in RNAcentral is "partial 16S ribosomal RNA". It matches the Rfam family "Bacterial small subunit ribosomal RNA", at positions 29 to 507 of the family's 1533-position model. The record is from RNAcentral.
AGCGAACGCUGGCGGCAGGCCUAACACAUGCAAGUCGAACGAACCUUUCGGGGUUAGUGGCGGACGGGUGAGUAACACGUGGGAACGUGCCUUUAGGUUCGGAAUAACUCAGGGAAACUUGUGCUAAUACCGAAUGUGCCCUUCGGGGGAAAGAUUUAUCGCCUUUAGAGCGGCCCGCGUCUGAUUAGCUAGUUGGUUGAGGUAAUGGCUCACCAAGGCAACGAUCAGUAGCUGGUCUGAGAGGAUGAUCAGCCACAUUGGGACUGAGACACGGCCCAAACUCCUACGGGAGGCAGCAGGGGGGAAUCUUGCGCAAUGGGCGAAAGCCUGACGCAGCCAUGCCGCGUGAAUGAUGAAGGUCUUAGGAUUGUAAAAUUCUUUCACCGGGGACGAUAAUGACGGUACCCGGAGAAGAAGCCCCGGCUAACUUCGUG